GUGGGGAAUAUUGGGCAAUGGGCGAAAGCCUGACCCAGCAACGCCGCGUGAGGGAAGAAGGCCUUCGGGUUGUAAACCUCUGUCCUUGGUGACGAAAAAAAUGACGGUAGCCAAGGAGGAAGCCCCGGCUAACUACGUGCCAGCAGCCGCGGUAAUACGUAGGGGGCGCGCGUUGUCCGGAAUUACUGGGCGUAAAGGGUGCGUAGGUGGCCUUUUAAGUGUGCUGUGAAAUACCCGGGCUUAACUUGGGGGGUGCAUCGAAUACUGGAGGGCUAGAGGGCAUGAGAGGGAAGCGGAAUUCCUAGUGUAGCGGUGAAAUGCGUAGAUAUUAGGAGGAACACCAGUGGCGAAGGCGGCUUUCUGGACUGUAACUGACACUGAGGCACGAAAGCGUGGGGAGCAAACAGGAUUAGAAACCCCUGUAGUCC
Molecule: ribosomal RNA, 428 nt
Filed under: uncultured bacterium
Lineage: Bacteria
Description: partial 16S ribosomal RNA
Rfam family: Bacterial small subunit ribosomal RNA
Source: RNAcentral